This 254-nucleotide long non-coding RNA is filed under the name Brassica napus (rape). RNAcentral describes it as "long non-coding RNA (BNAP_LNC022212)". Lineage: Eukaryota; Viridiplantae; Streptophyta; Magnoliopsida; Brassicales; Brassicaceae. The record is from RNAcentral.
CUUCUUUUUCUUGGGAAUCAUUUCACCCAAAUCUCGUACUUCUUCUUCACUCUAAGCAUGCGGACAACAACGAACUGGCAAAAAUUCUCGGAGGAUAAAUGGUUCUCGGCUUGUAAUAUGAUCGUCUCAAACGUUGUGUACCGCAAAAAAUCUACCUCUUCCAGAUCUAGAGCGUCGAUUAUGGGUACAAUUCUCUUUGGUUUGUGGUAGGUAUUAAUCUUUUCGUCGACAACUCUUCCCCGUAAACAAACAAG